Molecule: non-coding RNA, 1409 nt
Organism: Cajanus cajan (pigeon pea)
Lineage: Eukaryota; Viridiplantae; Streptophyta; Magnoliopsida; Fabales; Fabaceae
Source: RefSeq, a predicted model, not a curated record
UUAGUUGGAAAGACAUGCCUGAAUCUAAUAUAACUGACAUGGUUGAACUAAUAUAGGUAUUAUAUAGAAUUUCAUAAGUUGUAAUUAAUUUCAUCUUUUGAAAUGGUUGACUUGUUUAUUAUUGACUUUUAUGAUAGAGUAAGUUCCAAUUUGUUCCUGAACUGUCUGAGCAAACCAAGAGAAUACUAAAGGAUAACAUGAGUAAUAAGUGGAGGCAAUUCAAGCAUGAUUUGAAAUCAAAGGCAUAUGAUGCAAGUAAGACUAAGGAAGAAAUGGCUGCCAACAUCCCAGACAAAAGGGUUGAUCCUUCUUAGUAUCGUGAUUUAGUACAUCAUUGGUGUUCUAAGAAAGGACAAGACAUAAGUAUCAUGAAUAAAAGAAGUCGCUCAAAAUAUGAGGAUCUACAUUGCAUGGGUACCAAAAAUAUCCCAAGGUUAAUUCAUGAGAAAAAAAAAAGGAGAAUGGAGUGCAACCCUCACGAGCUGAAAUUUAUAUUGAUACUCGGACUCGAAAAGAUGGGAGCAUUGUGAAUGAAAAGGCAGUCCAUGUGAUUGACGAAUUAAAGAAGCAUAUGGUGGAGGUAGAAAGCUUAGGAGGAUCUCAAACUGCUCCUGAUUAUACAAAUUGGAAAAAUGACAUCUAUUCAAAAGUGAAAGGGCUUGAAAAAAGAGGACAUGUACGUUGUCUUGGCAAACUUCCACUUGCUAAAAAUUCAAAUACUGCAGCUCAAAGUUCUACUGCAGAACUUAGAAUUCAAAAAUUAGAGAAGGUACUUGGAAAUCUUGUUUCUUUUCUUCAAGCACGAUUUUCAGGAGUUCAAGAGAUUAAUGAUAUUAUAGAAGCUGUAGAUCAAGAGAUACCUGAUGCUGCAAGUAACAGAAACGAUUAUAAUAAUAGCAUUUAGUGAACUACAAGUGGUGGGUGUUAGGUGAUAUCGAUAAUCGUUCUUUAUAAAUACUAGGAUUUAUACAUGCUUAUGCGCAUCAAUAAUGGGUAGGAUAUUACCCUGAGAUUGUUAAUAUUUCCAAUUCUAGGCUUGGAUUGCAGGAUUGCUUGUAAGUGCAUGACGGAUUUUCCUGCAUAUAGAAUAGUUUGAAUUGUUGUUGUUUUUGUCCAUAGAUACUGUAGGGGGUUAAGCAUAGACUUAGAAUAUUGUGGGGUGGUGCAAUACAAGAUAUGCACAAGAUUGUUUUGAUGUCUUUUAUAUAUAGUGUGGAAGGGAAAGAUGAAAAAAGCAAGGAUAUCUGAAAAAUGAAAUACAUAAAUAUCUAGUUCUGAAGUGUGAUCCUUUGUGGGAACCAAUUGUAAUUGAAGAAACCAUCAAGAUAAGAUUCGUAACAGCUAGCCUAGCCACUAAUGGUUGCUUUUUCUUAAUUUCCAUGGCAGGGAUCAAUUCCCACUUUCUUGUC